Long non-coding RNA from Dermochelys coriacea (leatherback sea turtle), 699 nucleotides. RefSeq lists it as uncharacterized. The record is from RefSeq and is a predicted model, not a curated record. The transcript has 4 exons. NCBI's taxonomy places the organism in Eukaryota, Metazoa, Chordata, Testudines, Dermochelyidae.
CAUUAAUUUGACAGAGUUCCUGAUAAAAAUGACCAUUUGCUGGUUGUGAUUGUGAUGGGGCAUCGUCCCCCCACUGGCCCAUAAAGGGUUAAUAGAGCCCUAGGGAGUCUGCGCAGGAGACAACCAAUUAGAGAGGGGCUGCGAGGAGCAGCCAAUCAGGGCUGGGCUGGCCCAUAUAAGAAGGGCUGCAGAGCAGAGGGAUUUCAGUCAUUCUCUGGAGCUUGAGGAGGACUUGCUGCCUUGCAGGCUGAUGGUACCUAUGACUCAGUUCUAGGAUCACUGUGAUGCACAAAACAGCUUCUGAACCAAGAAGAAUAGAGGUGAACUAGGAUCUGCCACCUCUCAGGAGAGAAGAGGACAAUCUGGCCCCUUGAUAACAAGUGGAUAGAUCUCACUCAGGUUGCCCUUGAUAGCAGUCUUUCAACUUUGGCCGUUGCAAGCUGUUGAUAGCUGAAAUGGGUGUGCAGAAGAGGCUUAGGGAAGAAACAAUUCUGCAACCUGGAUAUUGCAUAUUUGGAUUGGCAGCAGCUCAUAAAUGGCUAACAGCUUGAUGUAAAGUUAAUUUUGCACUUGUUGUUUCCAAGCAGAUGUUUAAAGUCCACAGUUGAAUUUGCUGAGGAAGGUCAUUAAUGUUUAAUUUUCUAUUAGGAAAUGUCCUUUAUUGACAUAUUUCACUGAGAAAAGCAGGAAGUAGGGUUU